Thunnus maccoyii (southern bluefin tuna) is the source of this 554-nucleotide long non-coding RNA. RefSeq lists it as uncharacterized. The record is from RefSeq and is a predicted model, not a curated record. Lineage: Eukaryota; Metazoa; Chordata; Actinopteri; Scombriformes; Scombridae. The transcript is spliced from 3 exons.
UCAUGUAGCUGUCCUUUGAAGAAUGAGGAGGAUCCUGAGAUUUCAUGCAUUAGUUGAUGACUCACAACAAUUCCAUGAUAAUGUAGGGUGUUAUCAUGAUUGAAUAGUGUGUGAGUGAAAAUCAUUAGUAGCCCAUUGAUAUUAAUGAUCAUGUGAAAUUUUAGCAGUGGCACUCAUAAUUCACACUGCAUUCUGGGAUACUUGGCUGUCCCAAAGGACCAGACGUUGGAUCCUCCAAAGUUGGAAAAAGAAAGCCGCAUUUCUCUGCCACAUUUGAAGGAGCCUUCAAAAUGGGACAGCCUUGUUGCGCCAAAGUGAUGCAUUCGGUCUUCAAAUGCAGCCUUUGAAGGAUGCGACUCCUGAACUGGGACACAGCUAUGUGAUCUCACCAAUAAAGUCAGUGUGUUAUCUCAUGCCAGAUGGAAUAAUCCCAUUGCAAUGACAAGGAAUGAUUUAAACACAGGACUGAUAGAGGAGUGUCGACGAAGGCCGGACACAGGACGUUGAUACGAACACCAUAGUCACCCUGAGAGGACGCGUCCUGCAAGAACAAG